AUUAAGUUAAGUUAAGUUUAAACUGUUAGGUUGUGGCGCUAAAAAUAAAUCAAGAUUUACUUAAUA
RNAcentral lists this transfer RNA (66 nucleotides) under Gyrodactylus parvae. Its description in RNAcentral is "tRNA-His". The record is from RNAcentral. Lineage: Eukaryota; Metazoa; Platyhelminthes; Monogenea; Gyrodactylidea; Gyrodactylidae.